AGCUUUAUAUUCAAAUUAAAUGAUAUAAAAUUGCAAAUUUUAUGGUGUAGUUAUACUAAGGCUU
Molecule: transfer RNA, 64 nt
Filed under: Adelpha ethelda
Lineage: Eukaryota; Metazoa; Arthropoda; Insecta; Lepidoptera; Nymphalidae
Description: tRNA-Cys
Source: RNAcentral